Molecule: long non-coding RNA, 1001 nt
Organism: Agelaius phoeniceus (red-winged blackbird)
Lineage: Eukaryota; Metazoa; Chordata; Aves; Passeriformes; Icteridae
Source: RefSeq, a predicted model, not a curated record
GCAGGACCAGGGGUCUCACCCGUUGUUUUUCCCCCAAGCCAGGAUUUGUCAAUCCCAAACUUUGUCUGGAUGGAGCUGGAGGAGGCUGCAAGGAAAAGGAAGAUGGCAUAAGAGACUGAGGCAGGCACUGAGCUUCAGAUGGAGACCAGGGAGAACAAAUCCCUGUGGUAUUCACAUUUCUUUGAAUAGAGACAUAAUUCUUUCUCACAGGAUUUUUCCUGGGAAGCUGUGGAAAGGCUGAGAAAGCUCAGAGAGGAAGAAAACAAUUCUUAUCUCACUUGUUGCUCCUGUUGUUUGGCACAUGUGGAAUGUGUUAUGGAGAUUGUUUACCAAGAGUGAUUUGUUAAUUGGACACUGGUGAUGGUUGUUUGGACUGAUUGACCAAUUAGGUCAAAGCUGGGUCGUGACUGUCUGUAAAGGGUCAGAGGUUUUUCUUUAGUAUGUAAUUUAGUAUAGAUUUAGUAUAGCAAUAGUCUAAUGUAGUAUAAUAUAGUAUAGAAUAAAGCAUCUGUUCAGCGUUUGAAAUCAUGGAGUCAGAGCACAUCAUUCCUUGGAUGGGUGAGACAAAGUAGAAAUUUAACAGGAUAGAAAUACAUUUUUGGAUUUAGGUGAAAUGUGCUGUUCUGAGCCUGUAACUUGUUUAUCUGUGCUUAAGACUCCCUGUUCUCGCAAGAGAGAAAAAAAAAACCCAAAAAAUCUUGUGCUCGCAGAAUGGCCUUGACCAAGAGAAGGAAUUCAAACUCCUGAGAUAAGCAGAGGUGUCUUUGUCGGGGGCAAAGGCUGAGGAUGACCAGAGAGCUCUCUGCGCAAAGCGCAAGGACUGAUAAAAACUAAUUGCAACUUGCAAUGUGAAAUCAGUAAAAUGAAUAUGAAUGAGACUAUAUGCAUGUGUAUAAGCAAGGGGGAAUUCUCAGGGAUGCGCAUGUCCUUUAGGGAGAACAGCGAUUUUCACAUGCACCUAGCACUGUAAUAAACAUACUGGCUUAAUGACUUUCUACAAA